This 292-nucleotide ribosomal RNA is filed under the name uncultured bacterium. Its description in RNAcentral is "partial 16S ribosomal RNA". It matches the Rfam family "Bacterial small subunit ribosomal RNA", at positions 505 to 796 of the family's 1533-position model. The record is from RNAcentral.
GUGCCAGCCGCCGCGGUAAUACGAAGGGGGCUAGCGUUGUUCGGAAUUACUGGGCGUAAAGGGCGCGUAGGCGGUGUGUCAAGUCAGGCGUGAAAGCCCCGGGCUCAACCUGGGAACCGCGCUUGAGACUGGCACGCUCGAGUUCGGGAGAGGAUGGUGGAAUUCCCAGUGUAGAGGUGAAAUUCGUAGAUAUUGGGAAGAACACCGAUGGCGAAGGCAGCCAUCUGGACCGACACUGACGCUGAGGCGCGAAAGCGUGGGGAGCAAACAGGAUUAGAUACCCCCGUAGUCC